Molecule: ribosomal RNA, 493 nt
Filed under: uncultured bacterium
Lineage: Bacteria
Description: partial 16S ribosomal RNA
Rfam family: Bacterial small subunit ribosomal RNA
Source: RNAcentral
AGUGAACGCUGGCGGUAGGCCUAACACAUGCAAGUCGAACGGCAGCACAGUAAGAGCUUGCUCUUACGGGUGGCGAGUGGCGGACGGGUGAGGAAUACAUCGGAAUCUACUUUUUCGUGGGGGAUAACGUAGGGAAACUUACGCUAAUACCGCAUACGACCUACGGGUGAAAGCAGGGGAUCUUCGGACCUUGCGCGAUUGAAUGAGCCGAUGUCGGAUUAGCUAGUUGGCGGGGUAAAGGCCCACCAAGGCGACGAUCCGUAGCUGGUCUGAGAGGAUGAUCAGCCAAACUGGGAAUGAGACACGGUCCAGACUCCUACGGGAGGCAGCAGUGGGGAAUAUUGGACAAUGGGCGCAAGCCUGAUCCAGCCAUACCGCGUGGGUGAAGAAGGCCUUCGGGUUGUAAAGCCCUUUUGUUGGGAAAGAAAAGCAGCAGGUUAAUACCCCGCUGUUCUGACGGUACCCAAAGAAUAAGCACCGGCUAACUUCGUGC